GAUGAAGAACGUAGCGAAAUGCGAUAAGUAAUGUGAAUUGCAGAAUUCAGUGAACCAUCGAAUCUUUGAACGCACAUUGCGCCCGCCAGUAUUCUGGCGAGCAUGCCUGUUCGAGCGUCAUUUCAACCAUCAAGCCCCAGGCUUGUGUUGGAGCCCUGCGGCUGCCGCAGCCUCCCAAAACCAGUGGCGGGCUCGCUAUCACACCGAGUGCAGUAGUUUACUCUUCGCUCAGGGCGUGUGGCGGGUGCUAGCCGUGAAACCCCCAACUUCUCAAGGUUGACCUCGGAUCAGGUAGGAAUACCCGCUGAACUUAAGCAUAUCAAUAAGCGGAGGA
This 334-nucleotide unclassified non-coding RNA is filed under the name soil metagenome. RNAcentral describes it as "partial contains 5.8S ribosomal RNA, internal transcribed spacer 2, and large subunit ribosomal RNA". The stretch from base 1 to 120 matches the Rfam family "5.8S ribosomal RNA", at positions 35 to 154 of the family's 154-position model. The record is from RNAcentral.